UACGUAGGGGCCUAGCGUUGUCCGGAUUUAUUGGGCGUAAAGAGCUCGUAGGCGGUUCGGUAAGUCAGGUGUGAAAUCUCCACGCUCAACGUGGAGGCGCCACCUGAAACUGCCGUGACUCGAGUCCGGUAGGGGAGUGUGGAAUUCCCGGUGUAGCGGUGAAAUGCGCAGAUAUCAGGAGGAACACCAAUAGCGAAGGCAGCUCGCUGGGACGUUACUGACACUGAGGCGCGAAAGCGGGGGGAGCGAACAGG
This 254-nucleotide ribosomal RNA is filed under the name uncultured bacterium. RNAcentral describes it as "partial 16S ribosomal RNA". It matches the Rfam family "Bacterial small subunit ribosomal RNA", at positions 524 to 776 of the family's 1533-position model. The record is from RNAcentral.